AACAGGAUUAGAUACCCUGGUAGUCCACGCCCUAAACGAUGUCAACUGGUUGUUGGGAGGGUUUCUUCUCAGUAACGUAGCUAACGCGUGAAGUUGACCGCCUGGGGAGUACGGCCGCAAGGUUGAAACUCAAAGGAAUUGACGGGGACCCGCACAAGCGGUGGAUGAUGUGGUUUAAUUCGAUGCAACGCGAAAAACCUUACCUACCCUUGACAUGCCAGGAAUCUUGCAGAGAUGUGAGAGUGCUCGAAAGAGAACCUGGACACAGGUGCUGCAUGGCCGUCGUCAGCUCGUGUCGUGAGAUGUUGGGUUAAGUCCCGCAACGAGCGCAACCCUUGUCAUUAGUUGCUACGAAAGGGCACUCUAAUGAGACUGCCGGUGACAAACCGGAGGAAGGUGGGGAUGACGUCAGGUCAUCAUGGCCCUUAUGGGUAGGGCUACACACGUCAUACAAUGGCCGGGACAGAGGGCUGCCAACCCGCGAGGGGGAGCUAAUCCCAGAAACCCGGUCGUAGUCCGGAUCGCAGUCUGCAACUCGACUGCGUGAAGUCGGAAUCGCUAGUAAUCGCGGAUCAGCUUGCCGCGGUGAAUACGUUCCCGGGUCUUGUACACACCGCCCGUCACACCAUGGGAGCGGGUUCUGCCAGAAGUAGCUAGCCUAACUGCAAGGAGGGCGAUUACCACGGCAGGGUUCGUGACUGGGGUGAAGUCGUAACAAGGUAACC
RNAcentral lists this ribosomal RNA (725 nucleotides) under uncultured bacterium. RNAcentral describes it as "bacterial SSU rRNA". It matches the Rfam family "Bacterial small subunit ribosomal RNA", at positions 771 to 1501 of the family's 1533-position model. The record is from RNAcentral.